RNAcentral lists this ribosomal RNA (497 nucleotides) under uncultured bacterium. RNAcentral's name for it is "partial 16S ribosomal RNA". It matches the Rfam family "Bacterial small subunit ribosomal RNA", at positions 28 to 507 of the family's 1533-position model. The record is from RNAcentral.
GAUGAACGCUGGCGGCGUGCCUAAUACAUGCAAGUCGAGCGAACAGACGAGGAGCUUGCUCCUCUGACGUUAGCGGCGGACGGGUGAGUAACACGUGGAUAACCUACCUAUAAGACUGGGAUAACUUCGGGAAACCGGAGCUAAUACCGGAUAAUAUAUUGAACCGCAUGGUUCAAUAGUGAAAGACGGUUUUGCUGUCACUUAUAGAUGGAUCCGCGCCGCAUUAGCUAGUUGGUAAGGUAACGGCUUACCAAGGCAACGAUGCGUAGCCGAUCUGAGAGGGUGAUCGGCCACACUGGAACUGAGACACGGUCCAGACUCCUACGGGAGGCAGCAGUAGGGAAUCUUCCGCGAUGGGCGAAAGCCUGACGGAGCAACGCCGCGUGAGUGAUGAAGGUCUUCGGAUCGUAAAACUCUGUUAUUAGGGAAGAACAAAUGUGUAAGUAACUAUGCACGUCUUGACGGUACCUAAUCAGAAAGCCACGGCUAACUACGUG